RNAcentral lists this long non-coding RNA (265 nucleotides) under Pan troglodytes (chimpanzee). RNAcentral's name for it is "long non-coding RNA NONPTRT000690". Lineage: Eukaryota; Metazoa; Chordata; Mammalia; Primates; Hominidae. The record is from RNAcentral.
AUCCGCUCCGCUCUGCUCCCUGGUGUGUUGAUUCUUCCCCCAGCUGCUGCCUAAUGGAGUCCAGGCGCUCGCGUCACAGGAAAUGCCUAUACUGCCCUCCUCACUCACUUCCGGUGGCAGAUCAAGUCUUCAGCAGACAUCAUGUGACCUUGAGGAUGGAUGUCACAUGCUGGAGGAAACAGAAGGCCGAAACCCUGAUGACUUCACAGAGCUGCCAAAACAGUUCCUGACUGUUUAUUCCGGGUCUUUAACAAAGUGAUGAAAA